CAGGCCCGGAGCCAGCUGAGCUCAAGCUCCUCAAUUUCAUACUAAGCAGAUCAAGCUUGUAAGUUACACUAUUUGCCUUGUUUUCCAUCGAGACAAGAAUCCCCUAGAAUCAGCAGGAAGAGAAGAAAAGGAGCCAUUUGAUGGCCUGCCCUUGGGGAGGAAAGGAUAACUGCUCCGUGGAAUUAUUGCAAAAGCGUUUGGUUCCCAGUGUCAGCUCUAGAGGGCCCAGGGCCAGAAAGGACCUGGAGGAUGGUGGGCUCCACUGGGCACUGGCACGGGGAGGGGAGGGACUCAUGGUCUGCUUCCACUUGGGCUGGACCUGAAGAACAGAGCUAGAAAGACUCCCAGAACAGCACAUGCACCGUCUCUUUGAAGCCUCCAAGAACCCUUUGCAGCCCGUUCUACUGUCCCAUUACACACAGAUUAAAGAAGAUGGGACAUGCAGAGUUUGUGUGGAGACUAAAGGAGGUGUGCCCCCCAGGCAGCACCAGCACAGAAUGGACCAUCAGUCACUGUGCUAUCUCGAGAAAAAAAGAAGAUAUUACAUCCAUCCAUGAAAUGAGUGAGCUGGUUGCUUAAAAAAAUAAUAACAAAGCACACACCAGGCUAGGAUGACAGAAAAGGACUCUCUGUCAGUAUAAUAAGGUCCGGGGUGCCUGGAGGAUCGCUCAUCGAGGAAGGUGAAAUGUCUGAUCAUCUUUCCGAUGCUCCAGCAAGUGCUGCUAAGGCCCCUUGUCCCGUCUGCCCCACCUUAGGGUCCAGGCUUGGUACCUCUCAGCAGGGAACUGGGGGAGCUGAAGGACUGACUCCCAGCAGGAGGCUGGGAUGGGACCCUCCUGGCAGGGAGCAGAGAGAGACAAGGCCAUGGGGAGGAAGGCAGAAUGGAGCUCAAGGAGGAAAAGGCAUCUCCAUCUCAGUACCGGGGAGACCAAGGGGCACCCCCAGGGCUGAGACUCCAGCUCUGCUGCAGUGGGAGAUCCUGGGAAGGAAGACUUCAUGGGAUGGAGUGGAGAAGCCCAACCCCAGUCUCCACCUCCUCCUGUGAAUCCUGCCACCAGUGAAAUGCAACAUCUCAAAGCAGACGUGCUCGCUGUGGGUCUCUU
Camelus dromedarius (Arabian camel) is the source of this 1103-nucleotide long non-coding RNA. RefSeq lists it as uncharacterized. The transcript is spliced from 4 exons. Lineage: Eukaryota; Metazoa; Chordata; Mammalia; Artiodactyla; Camelidae. The record is from RefSeq and is a predicted model, not a curated record.